UGGGGCGAUUUUUGGGAAUUCUGGGAUUAUUUUGGGGUGAAUUUCAGGAAUUUGGGGAUUUUUUGGGGCAUUUUGGGAUUAUUCAGAGGAAUUUUGGGGUUAUUUGGGGAGGUUUUGGGGCAUUUCAGGGCUAUUUUCGGAUAUUUUGGGGGAUAUUUUUGGGAAAUUUUGGGGUGAUUUUGGGAAAUAUUUUUGGGGUAUUUUAGGGAUAUUUUGGGAAAUAUUUUUGGGAUAUUUUGGGGAUAUUUUUGGAGUGAUUUCAGGGAUAUUUUGGGGAUAUUUUAAGGAUAUUUCAGGGAUAUUUUGAGUUUUUUGGGGAGAUAUUUUAAGGAUAUUUCGGGGAAUAUUUGGGAUUAUUUUGGGGAUAUUUCAGGGAAUAUUUUAAGGAUAUUUCAGGGAUAUUUUGGGGUUAUUUUGGGGAAUAAUUUUUGAAUAUUUCAGGGAUAUUUUGGGGUGAUUUUUGUGGGUAUUUUGGGGAAUAUUUGGGAUAUUUCAGGGAUAUUUUAAGGAUAUUUUGGAGAUAAUUUUAGGGUGAUUUUGGGGUGAUUUUAGGGAUAUUUGGGGGUUAUUUUAGGUUGUUUUGGGAGAUUAUUUUAAAAUAUUUAGGGAUAUUUCAGGGAUAUUUCGGAGAUGUUUUGCUAGAUUUAAAGGAUAUUUUUGGGAUAUUUUUGUGGAUAUUUUUGUGGGCAUGUUGGGGAUAUUUUGGGGAAUAUUUGGGAUAUUUCAGGAAUAUUUUUUGCAUAUUUUGGGGAUGUUUUUGGGAUAUUUUGGAGAAUAUUUGGGGAUAUUUUCGGGGUGAAUUGAGAUGAUUUUGGGUCUCUCACCGUGUAC
Molecule: long non-coding RNA, 831 nt
Filed under: Junco hyemalis (dark-eyed junco)
Lineage: Eukaryota; Metazoa; Chordata; Aves; Passeriformes; Passerellidae
Description: lncRNA (ENSJHYG00000010928.1)
Source: RNAcentral